CCCCCCCGACAUCACCCACUGAACCGUGUCCCCAAGCACCAGCUCCAACCUCUCCACGGACGCCCCCAGGCCCCGGGUGCCCGCCUUUGCAGGGUGCUGAGGGCGCUGCUCUGCUCCCCCGCAGGGCUCGGCCUCGCUCCUGGCCCUGCAGCACCGCGCACAUUUCCCUUCCCCUCUCGUUUCUCGGGUUUGUCCUGGUUUUAUACCGGCAGCGAGGCUCGGGGACCCACCGCGGCCACCAGCGCCGCGUCCUGGGGGAGUCCCUGCCUGUCCCUGGGGUUCCCAAGCGAGCCCUGCCAGCUCCAGCCCUGCUUCACGGGCCCAUAAAUUCCCAGCCCUGCUUCACGUGCCCAUAAAACCCCAGCCCCGGUGCUGAGCUGGCCAAAAAGCGUCCCCACACCAGCUCCUGGGGUGACCCGUGGCCAUCACGGUCACCGCGAGAGCUCGCCUGCAGCUUGCAGAGCCUCCGUUUGGCUGCAGUGCUGGCAAGUGUGAGAAAGCUGUGACGUUGUGGAGAUAAAGGACAGGGACAGAAAGGGGACGGGAGAGCCCUUUGGCAAUGCCGGUGGCCUGGCAGAGGUGCUCGCCCGAGGCUCCCCGGGUCUUUUGGCCCCAGAAAAGGCGCAGGUGUCUCUCUGGUGACAGGACAGAAAGGCACCAAAGCACAGGAGAGCCACGUCGCGCCGGUCUCCUCGUGUUUCACGUACACACAAAAGCCAAGGUCCAGCCUUUCUGCCUGUGUCCUCAUCCCGAAGCCAGGACAACAUCCGGGAUAAAACCACACAUCUGUAGGAGCCGGCAGUACAAGCGUCCCCUUUGUCUUCUGUCCCUGCAGCACUUCUGUCCGUCCCACCUCCUCCGUCGUGCCUCCUGUACCUGCUCGUCUCCCCGCUCUUCUCCAGGCUCAGCCAUCGGCUGCUUCGAUGGCCAGAAAGCAUCAAUAAACACAGCAGCAGCAGCAAAGCAGCUUCUCUGUAGGAGAAGUUCUCUGUCUCGCUCAUCACUGCGGUCCCAAACCUCCUCAAUCUGGGUCCUCCCCUGUCGCAAUCCUGCCCGCGGCUGCUGUAUGAACGAUUUGUUACCAGGAGUCAAUCGUUUUGGCAACUCUGCUGCCAGGCACAUUCAGGAAGGUUUGCUCCCAGUCCCGGGCUGCUUUGAUCAAUUUGUUUGUGAAGCAGUUUUCAGUGGCUUGGUUAAUGUGGGUUAUUAUCUCCCCGGAAUCCCUGCUACAGAGGCUGAAUAA
Molecule: long non-coding RNA, 1243 nt
Filed under: Anser cygnoides (Swan goose)
Lineage: Eukaryota; Metazoa; Chordata; Aves; Anseriformes; Anatidae
Description: lncRNA (ENSACDG00005012897.1)
Source: RNAcentral